Molecule: unclassified non-coding RNA, 621 nt
Filed under: Hevea brasiliensis (rubber tree)
Lineage: Eukaryota; Viridiplantae; Streptophyta; Magnoliopsida; Malpighiales; Euphorbiaceae
Source: RNAcentral
ACAAAAUUUCCGAGCAACAAUUCUCUUACAAGACUAAAGCCACAAUCGAUCAUAUUACAAUCGAACUAAAAGAUUAAUCAAAAGCACAACCUGACAGACCCGUAUCCUUACGAGAUCUGGAAUCUUGCACUGAUGGAGGUGCCUUCGUCUUCACGCCAGAAAUGAUCGGAGAAAAGAUGGGGAGAGAUUGGGUUGGGGGACUCUUAGCAGAGUCUUGGUCCCAACAUGUCUUUCUGCCAACCCCAAACCUCUCCAUUUAUAGCCUCUGUUGGCGUCAGAUGUACGCGAUCUUUACUUGUACGCCAAGGUAUGGAUCACAUCCGUCCUUCUUGAUCAACGGCUCGGAUCAUGCCUUUAGUCGCUUUUCUUCGUUCUGGAACCGAGAUCUUUGUAUCCUCUCUCAUCAUUGUUCUCCAUUCGGGAUCUUCGAAUCUUCGCUUGACCGUGCAUCCUCUUUCUUCCUCAGGGAUCGCUUAUAUCCUCGUUCGGGAUCCCGGCUUCUUCCGUCAUUGUUCUGCAUCUAGGAUCCUUGCAUAGCCGUAUUUACCUCGCACAAAUCCACGGAGAUGCAUUAGACGAUUUUUAUAAGGAUUAAGUUUGGCAAAAACUCAACAUUUUGUG